CAUCGCCUCUUGCAUCCCGAAGUAUAAGAGGUCCCACCUGCCCUGUGACUCUAAGUUUAACGGCCGCGGUAUUCUAACCGUGCGAAGGUAGCGCAAUCAAUUGCCUUUUAAAUGAAGGCCUGUAUGAAUGGUAUAACGAGGGUCUGACUGUCUCUUUUUUCUAGUCAGUUAAACUGAUCUGUCCGUGCAGAAGCGGACAUUAUUAUACAAGACGAGAAGACCCUAUGGAGCUUUAGACACUAGCCAACUGUGAAUGAGCGACUGAACUAUACAAGUCUUAAAUACCCACAGCCUCUGGUAAUGUAGUCUUAGGUUGGGGCGACCACGGGAGAAAAUAAAGCUCCCAAGCAGACCGGGAAAACCCUUAAGCCCAGAGUUGCAACUCUAAGCCGCAAAAAUUUUGACUGAAAUGAUCCGGUUGAAAAACCGAUUAACGAACCAAGUUACCCUAGGGAUAACAGCGCAAUCCUCUCCCAGAGUCCCUAUCGACGAGGGGGUUUACGACCUCGAUGUUGGAUCAGGACAUCCUAAUGGUGCAGCCGCUAUUAAGGGUUCGUUUGUUCAACGAUUAAAGUCCUACGUGA
RNAcentral lists this ribosomal RNA (584 nucleotides) under Engraulis mordax (northern anchovy). RNAcentral describes it as "partial 16S ribosomal RNA". It matches the Rfam family "Bacterial large subunit ribosomal RNA", at positions 1814 to 2603 of the family's 2925-position model. The record is from RNAcentral. Lineage: Eukaryota; Metazoa; Chordata; Actinopteri; Clupeiformes; Engraulidae.